RNAcentral lists this ribosomal RNA (253 nucleotides) under uncultured bacterium. RNAcentral describes it as "partial 16S ribosomal RNA". It matches the Rfam family "Bacterial small subunit ribosomal RNA", at positions 524 to 776 of the family's 1533-position model. The record is from RNAcentral.
UACGUAGGGUGCGAGCGUUGUCCGGAAUUAUUGGGCGUAAAGGGCUCGUAGGCGGUCUGUCGCGUCGGGAGUGAAAACUCAGGGCUUAACCCUGAGCCUGCUUCCGAUACGGGCAGACUAGAGGUAUGCAGGGGAGAACGGAAUUCCUGGUGUAGCGGUGGAAUGCGCAGAUAUCAGGAGGAACACCGGUGGCGAAGGCGGGUCUCUGGGCAGUAACUGACGCUGAGACGCGAAAGCGUGGGGAGCAAACAGG